AUUGGUUGAGGGAGAUUGAUAGGCAAUGUCCAUGGUACCCAGAGCGGGGAUAUUCAAUCUUAAGGACUGGGAAAACAUCAGGCGCACUCUGCACAGAGAGCCUCGCGCGCCGGUGUUGCUGCUACUGACGUGGCGACAAUGUUAUGUCACCAUCAGCCUGCAGCUCUAUGGCUCCCUUUCUGUGGGC
Molecule: long non-coding RNA, 187 nt
Organism: Sphaerodactylus townsendi
Lineage: Eukaryota; Metazoa; Chordata; Lepidosauria; Squamata; Sphaerodactylidae
Exons: 3
Source: RefSeq, a predicted model, not a curated record